UCGACCAACAGGGGCUUGGAUGUCCACCA
This 29-nucleotide small RNA is filed under the name Bombyx mori (domestic silkworm). RNAcentral describes it as "ovarian small RNA-28289". Lineage: Eukaryota; Metazoa; Arthropoda; Insecta; Lepidoptera; Bombycidae. The record is from RNAcentral.